RNAcentral lists this ribosomal RNA (1077 nucleotides) under Pseudomonas syringae. RNAcentral describes it as "partial 16S ribosomal RNA". The stretch from base 1 to 867 matches the Rfam family "Bacterial small subunit ribosomal RNA". The record is from RNAcentral. Lineage: Bacteria; Pseudomonadati; Pseudomonadota; Gammaproteobacteria; Pseudomonadales; Pseudomonadaceae.
GAUNAGCGUGGCGNCCNNCCAUAUACAUGCAAGCUCGAGCGGUAGAGAGAAGCUUGCUUCUCUUGAGAGCGGCGGACGGGUGAGUAAUGCCUAGGAAUCUGCCUGGUAGUGGGGGAUAACGCUCGGAAACGGACGCUAAUACCGCAUACGUCCUACGGGAGAAAGCAGGGGACCUUCGGGCCUUGCGCUAUCAGAUGAGCCUAGGUCGGAUUAGCUAGUUGGUGAGGUAAUGGCUCACCAAGGCGACGAUCCGUAACUGGUCUGAGAGGAUGAUCAGUCACACUGGAACUGAGACACGGUCCAGACUCCUACGGGAGGCAGCAGUGGGGAAUAUUGGACAAUGGGCGAAAGCCUGAUCCAGCCAUGCCGCGUGUGUGAAGAAGGUCUUCGGAUUGUAAAGCACUUUAAGUUGGGAGGAAGGGCAUUAACCUAAUACGUUAGUGUUUUGACGUUACCGACAGAAUAAGCACCGGCUAACUCUGUGCCAGCAGCCGCGGUAAUACAGAGGGUGCAAGCGUUAAUCGGAAUUACUGGGCGUAAAGCGCGCGUAGGUGGUUUGUUAAGUUGAAUGUGAAAUCCCCGGGCUCAACCUGGGAACUGCAUCCAAAACUGGCAAGCUAGAGUAUGGUAGAGGGUGGUGGAAUUUCCUGUGUAGCGGUGAAAUGCGUAGAUAUAGGAAGGAACACCAGUGGCGAAGGCGACCACCUGGACUGAUACUGACACUGAGGUGCGAAAGCGUGGGGAGCAACAGGAUUAGAUACCCUGGUAGUCNCGCCGUAACGAUGUCACUANCNUUGGGGACUUNGAGUCUUUAGUGGNCACCUACNCAUAANUNACGCCUGGGANUCGNCNCAGNUAAACUCAAUGAUGACGGGCCCCCANCGGGGACUUGUUAUCAACACCAAACUNCNGCUGNUCAUAANUCAAUGAGAUCUCGACUNACGGCNAGCUCCNNNGCGANUGUANCANACNCUUCUAUCCCUGGGCUAGAUCGAACNNAGGANCAUUGCUCCGNCCUAGGAAGUCCGGACANNCNNNCNGAAUNANGACNCCCCCGGNAANNNNGGGGGGNNGCNA